ACGCCUGUAGCUCAGUGGAGAGAGCGCUGCCCUGCGACGGCAGAGGUCGCUGGUUCGAAUCCAGCUGGGCGUA
This 73-nucleotide transfer RNA is filed under the name Solirubrobacter ginsenosidimutans. Its description in RNAcentral is "Solirubrobacter sp. BXN5-15 tRNA". It matches the Rfam family "tRNA". Rfam says of the family: Transfer RNA (tRNA) molecules are approximately 80 nucleotides in length. Their secondary structure includes four short double-helical elements and three loops (D, anti-codon, and T loops). The record is from Rfam by way of RNAcentral. Lineage: Bacteria; Bacillati; Actinomycetota; Thermoleophilia; Solirubrobacterales; Solirubrobacteraceae.